RNAcentral lists this ribosomal RNA (207 nucleotides) under uncultured bacterium. Its description in RNAcentral is "partial 16S ribosomal RNA". It matches the Rfam family "Bacterial small subunit ribosomal RNA", at positions 568 to 774 of the family's 1533-position model. The record is from RNAcentral.
UUCGUAGGUGGCCACUUAAGUCAGACGUGAAAUCCCUCAGCUUAACUGGGGAACUGCGUCUGAUACUGAGUGGCUUGAGUGCAGGAGAGGAAUGCGGAAUUCCAGGUGUAGCGGUGAAAUGCGUAGAUAUCUGGAGGAACACCGGUGGCGAAGGCGGCAUUCUGGACUGUAACUGACACUGAGGAACGAAAGCCAGGGGAGCAAACG